RNAcentral lists this ribosomal RNA (722 nucleotides) under uncultured archaeon S30-23. Its description in RNAcentral is "bacterial SSU rRNA". It matches the Rfam family "Archaeal small subunit ribosomal RNA", at positions 123 to 844 of the family's 1478-position model. The record is from RNAcentral.
GGCAUAACCCCGGGAAACUGGGGAUAAUUCCGGAUAACGCACAUAUGCUGGAAUGCUUUAUGCGUAAAAUGGAUUCGUCUGCCCAAGGAUGGGUCUGCGGCCUAUCAGGUAGUAGUGGGUGUAAUGUACCUACUAGCCAACAACGGGUACGGGUUGUGAGAGCAAGAGCCCGGAGAUGGAUUCUGAGACAUGAAUCCAGGCCCUACGGGGCGCAGCAGGCGCGAAAACUUUACAAUGCGGGAAACCGUGAUAAGGGGACACCGAGUGCCAGCAUCAUAUGCUGGCUGUCCAGGUGUGUAAAAUACACCUGUCAGCAAGGGCCGGGCAAGACCGGUGCCAGCCGCCGCGGUAACACCGGCGGCCCGAGUGGUGAUCGUGAUUAUUGGGUCUAAAGGGUCCGUAGCCGGUUUGGUCAGUCCUCCGGGAAAUCUGACGGCUCAACCGUUAGGCUUUCGGGGGAUACUGCCAGGCUUGGAACCGGGAGAGGUAAGAGGUACUACAGGGGUAGGAGUGAAAUCUUGUAAUCCCUGUGAGACCACCUGUGGCAAAGGCGUCUUACCAGAACGGGUUCGACGGUGAGGGACGAAAGCUGGGGGCACGAACCGGAUUAGAUACCCGGGUAGUCCCAGCCGUAAACGAUGCUCGCUAGGUGUCAGGCAUGGCGCGACCGUGUCUGGUGCCGCAGGGAAGCCGUGAAGCGAGCCACCUGGAAGUACGGCCGC